RNAcentral lists this ribosomal RNA (403 nucleotides) under uncultured bacterium. RNAcentral's name for it is "bacterial SSU rRNA". It matches the Rfam family "Bacterial small subunit ribosomal RNA", at positions 355 to 775 of the family's 1533-position model. The record is from RNAcentral.
UGGGGAAUAUUGGGCAAUGGGCGAAAGCCUGACCCAGCAAUGCCGCGUGUGUGAAGAAGGUCUUCGGAUUGUAAAGCACUUUCGGCGGGGACGAUGAUGACGGUACCCGCAGAAGAAGCCCCGGCUAACUUCGUGCCAGCAGCCGCGGUAAUACGAAGGGGGCUAGCGUUGCUCGGAAUUACUGGGCGUAAAGGGCGCGUAGGCGGCACGGACAGUCAGGCGUGAAAUUCCUGGGCUCAACCUGGGGGCUGCGCUUGAUACGUCCGAGCUAGAGGACAGGAGAGGCUCGUGGAAUUCCCAGUGUAGAGGUGAAAUUCGUAGAUAUUGGGAAGAACACCGGUGGCGAAGGCGGCGAGCUGGCCUGUAUCUGACGCUGAGGCGCGACAGCGUGGGGAGCAAACAG